UGCCAGGAUGAAGUGCCAAACUAUCUGAUGAAGAAAGAGCAAGACAGGAAAGGAACAACCUGCUCUGUUCUUUAGUUUGUUUGAUCCGGUGUGGUUGUAGUGAGCAGUGAUGAAAAUAAAAUUUGGGUCAACACCUCAACGGUUAGCUGAUGUUGCAUAUCUAAUGUGGUUUAUUUGUAAGUUUGACUUCCGAGGACGUUGAUGUGCUAAUACUUAAUCUGACCAUUUCUCCUACCAGUCUUACUAUGCCCUGAGGUACUGACAUUUGGUGGCAGAAGAGAAAAUUCACCUUGUGAUGAUCCCUUUUUUUUGGUGGCAGAUUCGUGAGAUGUGAUCUGUGAUGGACGAUUCGCGUACAUGAUUUGGAGAAGAGCAC
RNAcentral lists this long non-coding RNA (376 nucleotides) under Triticum aestivum (bread wheat). Its description in RNAcentral is "long non-coding RNA (TAES_LNC013078)". The record is from RNAcentral. Lineage: Eukaryota; Viridiplantae; Streptophyta; Magnoliopsida; Poales; Poaceae.